Molecule: small RNA, 133 nt
Filed under: Pseudescherichia vulneris (CDC Enteric Group 1)
Lineage: Bacteria; Pseudomonadati; Pseudomonadota; Gammaproteobacteria; Enterobacterales; Enterobacteriaceae
Description: RtT sRNA
Rfam family: RtT RNA
About the family: This family represents a bacterial cis-regulatory element known as RtT RNA. The exact function of RtT is unknown although it is thought that it may be involved in changing the cellular response in relation to amino acid starvation.
Source: RNAcentral
UACUCUUCCGCACAGGGAAGGAUGAGAAGCUUCGACUAAGGUUCGAUUCGAGCGACAGCGAGAAAGCGUUGCCGUCAGGCAACGACCCGAAGGGCGAGGUGCGAAGCACCGAGUAAUCCUUCCCCCACCACCA